This 898-nucleotide ribosomal RNA is filed under the name Hypomyces rosellus. RNAcentral's name for it is "LSU rRNA". It matches the Rfam family "Eukaryotic large subunit ribosomal RNA", at positions 38 to 966 of the family's 3401-position model. Lineage: Eukaryota; Fungi; Ascomycota; Sordariomycetes; Hypocreales; Hypocreaceae. The record is from RNAcentral.
GCAUAUCAAUAAGCGGAGGAAAAGAAACCAACAGGGAUUGCCCCAGUAACGGCGAGUGAAGCGGCAACAGCUCAAAUUUGAAAUCUGGCCCCUCGGGCCCGAGUUGUAAUUUGUAGAGGAUGCUUUUGGCAAGGUGCCGCCCGAGUUCCCUGGAACGGGACGCCGCAGAGGGUGAGAGCCCCGUCUGGCUGGCCACCGAGCCUCUGUAAAGCUCCUUCGACGAGUCGAGUAGUUUGGGAAUGCUGCUCAAAAUGGGAGGUAUAUGUCUUCUAAAGCUAAAUAUUGGCCAGAGACCGAUAGCGCACAAGUAGAGUGAUCGAAAGAUGAAAAGCACUUUGAAAAGAGGGUUAAACAGUACGUGAAAUUGUUGAAAGGGAAGCGCUCAUGACCAGACUUGGGCUUGGCGAAUCAUCCGGCGUUCUCGCCGGUGCACUUCGCCUCGCUCAGGCCAGCAUCAGUUCGCGCCGGGGGACAAAAGCUUCGGGAAUGUGGCUCCUCCGGGAGUGUUAUAGCCCGUUGCAUAAUACCCUGGUGCGGACUGAGGUUCGCGCAUCUGCAAGGAUGCUGGCGUAAUGGUCAUCAGCGACCCGUCUUGAAACACGGACCAAGGAGUCGUCUUCGUAUGCGAGUGUUCGGGUGUCAAACCCCUACGCGUAAUGAAAGUGAACGCAGGUGAGAGCUUCGGCGCAUCAUCGACCGAUCCUGAUGUUCUCGGAUGGAUUUGAGUAAGAGCAUACGGGGCCGGACCCGAAAGAAGGUGAACUAUGCCUGUAUAGGGUGAAGCCAGAGGAAACUCUGGUGGAGGCUCGCAGCGGUUCUGACGUGCAAAUCGAUCGUCAAAUAUGGGCAUGGGGGCGAAAGACUAAUCGAACCUUCUAGUAGCUGGUUUCCGCCGAAG